This 533-nucleotide long non-coding RNA is filed under the name Ananas comosus (pineapple). RNAcentral describes it as "long non-coding RNA (ACOM_LNC022643)". Lineage: Eukaryota; Viridiplantae; Streptophyta; Magnoliopsida; Poales; Bromeliaceae. The record is from RNAcentral.
ACUUAAGAGGAUAAAAGACACCAACAAGCUUAGAUCAGCGACAAGCAAGAUUCUUUCUAACCUUUUUCCAGUUUCAUUAAAUCUUGUCAAGCUUUUCAGCCUUAACAACUGGAUUAGCCUUGGCAAUUGCAUUCCUAGCUGCCAUUCGGUAAUCGAAUGGGCAGUUAUGCUUGUCGGAAUAGCGGUGCAUAGCACAGAAGAGAUUCCCGCACCGGCAGUUAUAGCCCGUGAGGCCCACCUUCUUCCUACAUGUGUUACAUCUGUUAGCUCCCUGCUUCUCCUUUGCCUUUGCGUCACAACCCUCACUCGAUCCCACAUCACUAGAAGGCAGGGGCACAAUGGCCUUUUUCUCCACGAGAGUAUUAGUUUCAUUGGUACUGGAAGGUAUGACCGGCCCUUUGCCGCUGCCACUCCCAUUUACGAUGGUGUCGAUGGAGGAUGCCGGUAGCAUGGCCUGCUCCUGCUUCAUGAUCAUGUCCUUGUGGCACUUGGAGCACAUGUUCAUCGCGGCCGCGCUGCCAAAGAAGCCGCAG